This 582-nucleotide ribosomal RNA is filed under the name uncultured Glomeromycotina. RNAcentral's name for it is "eukaryotic LSU rRNA". It matches the Rfam family "Eukaryotic large subunit ribosomal RNA", at positions 293 to 766 of the family's 3401-position model. The record is from RNAcentral. Lineage: Eukaryota; Fungi; Glomeromycota.
AGGGUGGUAAAUUUCACCUAAGGCUAAAUAUAUGCAAGAGACCGAUAGCGAACAAGUACCGUGAGGGAAAGAUGAAAAGAACUUUGAAAAGAGAGUUAAAUAGUACGUGAAAUUGUUGAAAGGGAAACGAUUAAAGUCAGUCAUGUUGGUAGGGAAUCAACUUGAUGGUGUGCGGGUUUACUCGUGUUCUUUCGAGUGCACUUCCUUACUUACUAGUUAGCAUCAAUUUUGGUUAUCGUAUAAAAAUUGAGGGAAGGUGGCUUUUCUUCGGAAAAGUGUUAUAGACCUCAAGAAAUGUGGUGACCGGGAUUGAGGAUUGCAGCGGAUACCCUUUUGGGCUAGUCACCUGGCUUCUGAUGGUUACCCCGUCUUCGAUAGCUUGCUAACGUUGGUGGGAUUUAAUUAUCUAGAUGUUGGAGUGAUCAUAAAUUCGCUAAGGAUGCUGACGUAAUGGCUUUAAACGACCCGUCUUGAAACACGGACCAAGGAGUCUAACAUGUGUGCGAGUGUUUGGGUAUUAAAACCCGUAACGCGUAAUGAAAGUAAUUCUGGUGGGAACCCUUCUCGGGUGCACCAUCGACC